RNAcentral lists this transfer RNA (72 nucleotides) under Rhipicephalus microplus (southern cattle tick). RNAcentral's name for it is "tRNA-Ser". It matches the Rfam family "tRNA". Rfam says of the family: Transfer RNA (tRNA) molecules are approximately 80 nucleotides in length. Their secondary structure includes four short double-helical elements and three loops (D, anti-codon, and T loops). Further hydrogen bonds mediate the characteristic L-shaped molecular structure. tRNAs have two regions of fundamental functional importance: the anti-codon, which is responsible for specific mRNA codon recognition, and the 3' end, to which the tRNAs corresponding amino acid is attached (by aminoacyl-tRNA synthetases). tRNAs cope with the degeneracy of the genetic code in two manners: having more than one tRNA (with a specific anti-codon) for a particular amino acid; and 'wobble' base-pairing, i.e. permitting non-standard base-pairing at the 3rd anti-codon position. The record is from Rfam by way of RNAcentral. Lineage: Eukaryota; Metazoa; Arthropoda; Arachnida; Ixodida; Ixodidae.
GUCGUGAUAGCUCAGUGAUUAGAGCAUCGAACGAGAUAUUCGAAGUCGUAGGUUCGACUCCUGCUCACGACA